RNAcentral lists this ribosomal RNA (909 nucleotides) under Leptodontidium beauverioides. RNAcentral's name for it is "LSU rRNA". It matches the Rfam family "Eukaryotic large subunit ribosomal RNA", at positions 38 to 964 of the family's 3401-position model. The record is from RNAcentral. Lineage: Eukaryota; Fungi; Ascomycota; Leotiomycetes; Helotiales; Leptodontidiaceae.
GCAUAUCAAUAAGCGGAGGAAAAGAAACCAACAGGGAUUACCUCAGUAACGGCGAGUGAAGCGGUAACAGCUCAAAUUUGAAAUCUGGGUCUUUCAGGCUCCGAGUUGUAAUUUGUAGAAGAUGCUUCGGGUGUGGCUCCGGUCUAAGUUCCUUGGAACAGGACGUCAUAGAGGGUGAGAAUCCCGUAUGUGACUGGUUGCCUUCGCCCAUGUGAAGCUCUUUCGACGAGUCGAGUUGUUUGGGAAUGCAGCUCAAAAUGGGUGGUAAAUUUCAUCUAAAGCUAAAUAUUGGCCAGAGACCGAUAGCGCACAAGUAGAGUGAUCGAAAGAUGAAAAGCACUUUGGAAAGAGAGUUAAACAGUACGUGAAAUUGUUGAAAGGGAAGCGCUUGCAACCAGACUUGCACGCUGCCGAUCAUCCGGGGUUCUCCCCGGUGCACUCGGUUGCGUUCAGGCCAGCAUCGGUUUGGGUGGUUGGAUAAAGGCCUUGGGAAUGUAGCUUCUUUCGGGGAGUGUUAUAGCCCUCGGUGCAAUGCAGCCUACCCGGACCGAGGACCGCGCUUCGGCUAGGAUGCUGGCGUAAUGGUUGUAAGCGACCCGUCUUGAAACACGGACCAAGGAGUCUAACAUCUAUGCGAGUGUUUGGGUGUCAAACCCAUACGCGUAAUGAAAGUGAACGGAGGUGAGAACCCUUAAGGGUGCAUCAUCGACCGAUCCUGAUGUCUUCGGAUGGAUUUGAGUAAGAGCAUAGCUGUUGGGACCCGAAAGAUGGUGAUCUAUACUUGAAUAGGGUGAAGCCAGAGGAAACUCUGGUGGAGGCUCGCAGCGGUUCUGACGUGCAAAUCGAUCGUCAAAUUUGAGUAUAGGGGCGAAAGACUAAUCGAACCAUCUAGUAGCUGGUUCCUGCCGA